RNAcentral lists this long non-coding RNA (302 nucleotides) under Monodelphis domestica (gray short-tailed opossum). RNAcentral's name for it is "lncRNA (ENSMODG00000046312.1)". The record is from RNAcentral. Lineage: Eukaryota; Metazoa; Chordata; Mammalia; Didelphimorphia; Didelphidae.
CUGGAGAUUAGACAGGAAAUGGUGCAGUAAGAGAAAGAAGCCCCACUCCUCACCCAUUUUUCUUUUCCUCUUCCCUUUAGGGAUAGGCACAACAAAGAGAUGGAAAAACUAAGGUCCAAGAGAUGGUUCUCCACUUGGCAGGGAGGGAAAUCAGGCUAGCUUUGAGUCCUAAUGGCAUAGCAGUGAACCACUAGCAAGCUCAGUGACCUUUGACAAGGCAAUUCACCUUGCUGGGUUUUAGUUUCCUCAACUGUAAAAUGAGGAAGUUCGGCUAGAUGCUCUCACAACAUCUGAUUCUCUGC